UUUUGUAUAUUUUAUUAGAAAUAAUUUCAUAUCAAUACCAUUGAAGCCAACAUCACUAUGUUGUAUGGCUGACUGAACUAAUGAAUUUUUCUUCUACUUCAAAAUCUUGUUUAAAACGAAUACAUCACUAUUUACUAGAAUAGCCUUAAAUCACUAUUUACUAGAGCAGCCUUACAUCACUAUUUACUAAAACGCCUUCAUCGGUUGACUCAACUCAUGAGUUUUUUUAUUUUUUUUGCACAACCCUAUAAUAAGUAACUAAUCUCUAAAACAGAAUACGUGUAUGCAUGAUAAUAACUUCUAGUAGAAAUCUCGAAAAGAACAAGAUGGAAGUCUUUCUUAAAUUGAUAGGUAAUAUUUUGAACACUAAAAAGAAGAAUGAAAUUACUAGAACGAAGGAAAUAAAAUGGGGUCGAGCGUUGUGUUUUUGGCUUGGGAAAAGAAGAGAGUGAGAAGGAGCAGAAUGAAAACCCACGGAAG
Molecule: long non-coding RNA, 480 nt
Filed under: Lupinus angustifolius (narrow-leaved blue lupine)
Lineage: Eukaryota; Viridiplantae; Streptophyta; Magnoliopsida; Fabales; Fabaceae
Description: long non-coding RNA (LANG_LNC002555)
Source: RNAcentral